Molecule: small RNA, 29 nt
Filed under: Bombyx mori (domestic silkworm)
Lineage: Eukaryota; Metazoa; Arthropoda; Insecta; Lepidoptera; Bombycidae
Description: ovarian small RNA-11095
Source: RNAcentral
ACAGAUUACGCUCAGGCCCGGGAGGAGGG